Non-coding RNA from Malus domestica (apple), 267 nucleotides. The record is from RefSeq and is a predicted model, not a curated record. Lineage: Eukaryota; Viridiplantae; Streptophyta; Magnoliopsida; Rosales; Rosaceae.
CAAGAAUUACGGUCUUAUGCUUCUAAAUUAUUAAUCACGAUCGCAUGUAUAAAUUCAUUGCAGCAAUAACGAAGAAGGGAAGUAACAACCAGAGAUUGAAAACUAGUUCAGAUACGUACAUUCACUAUCAUGCAGACUUGCCAUUGGAGACAGCUCUGAAUAUGCAAAGGCUUCUUAUAUGACUGCAACAAGAGAGAACAUACCACGCUUAGAGAUGAAGCAGGCAUGCACCUGCAAGCCAUGGUGGUAAUCGAAUUCCAGUGAAAG